UAAUAAUUAAUUGUUAUCAGAACAGGUAAUGCUAGAUGCAAGUGGGUUCUUGAAGUUCCAGCGGCGGGUGGACCCCGCCGAAGGAGAAUAAUAGGUACUCGUAGAGAAGGGUUAGGUCAGCCCCGCGCCGGUUUCCCGGACACGGAGGCGUCGCUAUAGAAUGACCGUCGCUCACGCCGGGGCGUUCGCGGCGGCCACAGGUAAUGAUCCUUCCGCAGGUUCACCUACGGAAA
Molecule: unclassified non-coding RNA, 233 nt
Filed under: uncultured fungus
Lineage: Eukaryota; Fungi
Description: sequence contains ITS1
Source: RNAcentral